Ornithodoros turicata is the source of this 3243-nucleotide long non-coding RNA. RefSeq lists it as uncharacterized. The transcript is spliced from 2 exons. The record is from RefSeq and is a predicted model, not a curated record. Lineage: Eukaryota; Metazoa; Arthropoda; Arachnida; Ixodida; Argasidae.
UUGACGCCGUUAUAGCGCAUAGGAAAUGCAUGAAGACGAAAGUUUGCGUGGCCGUAUUUAUUUUGUGACGCAGUGCCUGAUAUCGACGACUUUUUUUUGUAGGGUUUCCUGGCGUAACUUCUUCAUUCCGCGGCAGCGGAAGUCUGUCUGUCAAACAAAAGAGCGGCUGUGCGUUAUUUUCGGUGAAUCUCUUCCUGAUGACCACCGGAUGUUGGCCAGAUCAUGCAUGCCAAGGCUUUAACGACAUGGCGGCAAGAUGUCAGGCCGUGUUGUGGGGCCAGCGUGCGUGGGCCAACAUACUCUGUUAGCGACAUUGGCCCAUGCUUGUUUCAGACAUUCUUGGCAGACGAAGUCGUUUGCCCACCGACUGCCGAUGGCCGGCCGAUCAUCGGUAGUUGGCAAAUUCCCUUUCGGUGCUCACUUUUUUGGAUGAAUACUUCAUGUUUGUUUCCCAGCAAAAGUAUGAGGUUUUUUUUUAGGCGGAGAUGUUAAUAUUGAUAUGGCGUCAAACUGUUAUAAAAAACAGUUGGCAAUGUUAUACAGUGGAUAUGGUUUUUAUAACAGAAUUUCUACACCUACUAGUGUUACAGAACACUCUACUUGACCUGUUUCUAACGAAUUAUGAUAUGUCAUUGUUAAAGACCUGUGUUGUAACAAGAGACGUUAGUGGUCAUAUACCGGUAUGCUUGAUUGCACAAAAGGCCAAAGAAGAAACAUUACAGCUUGCCACAGAAGACAGACUGCGAGCUUUCCAAAAUGAUAUUAACAACAUUGACUGGAAUUUCGUGUUUUCUGUGCAUCAUAAGCUUCAUUGGGAUCGUCGUCGACAUUCUUGACCGCAUAUACAUCACGUGUUCCUGUUGUGACGAAAACAGGUUUUAAAAAAUAUGCAAAAAGGAACUAUUACCUUAACUUGUUUUGCAAUACCCAGCCAACUAAGCAUUCAAAUAUUAUAUGGAACAACCUGAAUAGGCAGUUGAACAGGGGCACAAACGGGCACGGGGCAUGAAGAAAUAGUAGACGGUGUUGAUAUGGCAGAGUGUUUGAACUCUUACCUAACGAGUUUGUUUUCCCACAACAAUGACAGUUAACCGACAAAUGUCUGAUGAUUUUCCGUAUAAUUCUAGUCAGUCAAUAUUCCUCCUUCCGGUUGAUGACACCGAAAUAAUAUCUGCCUUUUCCACACUAAACAUGGAUGGAUUACUUUAAUAUGCAGAUUGCACCGGUAAAACAUGUUCUGCGCGACAUAGUACCUUACUUGACACAUAUAUUUAACCGUUGUUUCACAGUUGGUGUUUCCCCAAAGCAACUGCAGAUUGCUAAGGUUUGUUUUACACAAGGGUGGUGAUGUGAAUGAUCUAUCCAAUUACCGCCCUAUUUCAAUACUUCCAGUUUUCUCAAAAAACCUGGAAAGAAUCAGGUACAACAGGCUAUUACGAUUCCUUGAAAAAAAAAUCGUUUAUCACAGCCUCACAAUACGGGUGUCGUAGACAAAGAUCAACUGAACUCUCUCUUAAACGCGCUCUUAAAACAGAAAGUAUAUUCUUAGCAACCUUGAAAAUCGAAAGCUUACACUGGGUGUGUUUGUCGAGUGUAUGCUUUUCUCUUCUUAGCUCAUACUUGGAACACCGACAACAAUGUGUACUUAUCAACAAUAGUCGUUCUUCUAUUAAGAAUGUCACGUGCGGGGUACCCCAGGGAAGCAUUAUAGGGCCUUUAUUAUUUAUGUAAAUGACAUCGUUAACAUAUGUCCAGUAACCAGCUUAUUAUUUACGCUGAUGACACUAGUUUGUUUUUUGUUGGUGAUAAUGGUCAAGAAAUUGUACAGAAAGCCAAUGAUGUUUUGCACCGAUUAUAUAUCUGGUCUGAAAAUAAGUUGAAAAUCAAUGUACGUAAAACCUAACUAAUUUUAUUUCAACCAAAAAAUAAGAAUGCGAGUCUGUGCUCCCCAAUUCUUCUGGGAGGGGACUACGUAGAUGUGGUCGAAUCUGUUAAAACAUUAGGUGUUUUUUUUUUUUCAUUAAACCAUUGAGCUGGCGACAACAUAUUGAUUUCGUGCGUUCAAAAGUAUCUCCUGCUGUUGGAAUGAUUUAGUGGAACACACACUUACUUCCAUGAAAGGUUUUGUUUCUACUGUGUCAUUGCAUGAUAUACUCCCAUGUAAAUUACUGUUUUCUGGUAUGGGGCAAAAGACAAAACUGGCUUAGAAGAAUUACUUAAAAGUUCCUUCGCAUUGUUGAGGGAAUGUCUUAUCACACCACAUAUGGGCGUUUUUUAAAAAGAAUCUUAUUCCUAUAACCCAGUUGUAUGACUACAAAGCAUCAUUAGGCUAUAGGGCCGCAAUCUAAAUAGUAAUUUAGUAUUUAAUGAUAUUGCAAAUUUGAUUCCUAAAGCACCUCUAUCCAUCCCGGCAUCAUGAAAGAUGGACUGUUCCAAGAUGUAGAACAAUUUAUGGCACACUCUUCUCCGGCACUUUUAAAUUCAACCACACAGGAACUGUCACAAUGUUCCAGGCAUACCAUUUUUAAAUAUUCUCUCAAUUACCACGAUUAGCUUUCGUUAUUAUUUCAAAUAGCGAUUUUUUCCCUGCUCUACAUAGUGAAUAUAUAACCUGUGAGCUGUCUUAGUGUAUUGUAGUUUCAUUAUUGAGUUGCAAAGUUGUAUUUUUUUCUGUUUUCUUCUGUGCUGUUCUGACUUUUAUUCUAUUUUGGGAGGAUGUCUAUAGUGUAUCAAAGUUCAUUAUUGCCACGAAUCAUCAUCGCGGAACUUCCAGGGCAGGCACGAAACGGUACAUCUCAUCCCGGCACAUGCUGAAGAAGCAUGAAGCUUCCAGACACAUCGCCUGCUCCCUGGCAAACGCACGUGCUGUUUCUAGACUUUUCGGCGCGACGCUUAAAUGCUUGUGCGCUCCAAGCUGGAGCAUUCAUUCUUUGGACUCAGUUGUGUUCAGAGAGCUAUCACUCUUGUGUUUUGCUACCAAGUAGUCUAAUAAACCGUUCACUGUUUAUUCGACGACUCGCCCACCCAUUUCGCUUCGUGACAUUGUUUCUGUCGUGUUUAGUAGUAUUGUUGCUGUUGAUUGUUGUUUAUUUCUUUGUAUUAUUAUUGAAGUGCAUGUUACGCUGCAGCUGCUGUAUGGGACCAGUGACCUCGUCAAGCCACGUGCACUCAAUGUUUGUUACUGGUUCCAGCUUCUUAUGUAGGCUAAAACAAAACAUUAAAUAAAUAAAUAAGCUUGAUGUC